This 248-nucleotide ribosomal RNA is filed under the name uncultured bacterium. RNAcentral describes it as "partial 16S ribosomal RNA". It matches the Rfam family "Bacterial small subunit ribosomal RNA", at positions 523 to 769 of the family's 1533-position model. The record is from RNAcentral.
AUACGUAGGGUGCGAGCGUUAAUCGGAAUUACGUGGGCGUAAAGCGUGCGCAGGCGGUUGUUUAAGACAGAUGUGUAAGCCCUGGGCUCAACCUGGGAAUUGCGUUUGUGACUGGACGACUAGAGUGCAACAGAGGGGGGUGGAAUUCCACGUGUAGCAGUGAAAUGCGUAGAGAUGUGGAGGAACACCGAUGGCGAAGGCAGCCCCCUGGGUUGACACUGACGCUCAUGCACGAAAGCGUGGGGAGC